GGUUAAGCGACUAAGCGUACACGGUGGAUGCCCUGGCAGUCAGAGGCGAUGAAGGACGUGCUAAUCUGCGAUAAGCGUCGGUAAGGUGAUAUGAACCGUUAUAACCGGCGAUUUCCGAAUGGGGAAACCCAGUGUGUUUCGACACACUAUCAUUAACUGAAUCCAUAGGUUAAUGAGGCGAACCGGGGGAACUGAAACAUCUAAGUACCCCGAGGAAAAGAAAUCAACCGAGAUUCCCCCAGUAGCGGCGAGCGAACGGGGAGGAGCCCAGAGCCUGAAUCAGUGUGUGUGUUAGUGGAAGCGUCUGGAAAGGCGCGCGAUACAGGGUGACAGCCCCGUACACAAAAAUGCACAUACUGUGAGCUCGAUGAGUAGGGCGGGACACGUGGUAUCCUGUCUGAAUAUGGGGGGACCAUCCUCCAAGGCUAAAUACUCCUGACUGACCGAUAGUGAACCAGUACCGUGAGGGAAAGGCGAAAAGAACCCCGGCGAGGGGAGUGAAAAAGAACCUGAAACCGUGUACGUACAAGCAGUGGGAGCACGCUUAGGCGUGUGACUGCGUACCUUUUGUAUAAUGGGUCAGCGACUUAUAUUCUGUAGCAAGGUUAACCGAAUAGGGGAGCCGAAGGGAAACCGAGUCUUAACUGGGCGUUAAGUUGCAGGGUAUAGACCCGAAACCCGGUGAUCUAGCCAUGGGCAGGUUGAAGGUUGGGUAACACUAACUGGAGGACCGAACCGACUAAUGUUGAAAAAUUAGCGGAUGACUUGUGGCUGGGGGUGAAAGGCCAAUCAAACCGGGAGAUAGCUGGUUCUCCCCGAAAGCUAUUUAGGUAGCGCCUCGUGAAUUCAUCUCCGGGGGUAGAGCACUGUUUCGGCAAGGGGGUCAUCCCGACUUACCAACCCGAUGCAAACUGCGAAUACCGGAGAAUGUUAUCACGGGAGACACACGGCGGGUGCUAACGUCCGUCGUGAAGAGGGAAACAACCCAGACCGCCAGCUAAGGUCCCAAAGUCAUGGUUAAGUGGGAAACGAUGUGGGAAGGCCCAGACAGCCAGGAUGUUGGCUUAGAAGCAGCCAUCAUUUAAAGAAAGCGUAAUAGCUCACUGGUCGAGUCGGCCUGCGCGGAAGAUGUAACGGGGCUAAACCAUGCACCGAAGCUGCGGCAGCGACGCUUAUGCGUUGUUGGGUAGGGGAGCGUUCUGUAAGCCUGCGAAGGUGUGCUGUGAGGCAUGCUGGAGGUAUCAGAAGUGCGAAUGCUGACAUAAGUAACGAUAAAGCGGGUGAAAAGCCCGCUCGCCGGAAGACCAAGGGUUCCUGUCCAACGUUAAUCGGGGCAGGGUGAGUCGACCCCUAAGGCGAGGCCGAAAGGCGUAGUCGAUGGGAAACAGGUUAAUAUUCCUGUACUUGGUGUUACUGCGAAGGGGGGACGGAGAAGGCUAUGUUGGCCGGGCGACGGUUGUCCCGGUUUAAGCGUGUAGGCUGGUUUUCCAGGCAAAUCCGGAAAACUAAGGCUGAGGCGUGAUGACGAGGCACUACGGUGCUGAAGCAACAAAUGCCCUGCUUCCAGGAAAAGCCUCUAAGCAUCAGGUAACAUCAAAUCGUACCCCAAACCGACACAGGUGGUCAGGUAGAGAAUACCAAGGCGCUUGAGAGAACUCGGGUGAAGGAACUAGGCAAAAUGGUGCCGUAACUUCGGGAGAAGGCACGCUGAUAUGUAGGUGAAGUCCCUCGCGGAUGGAGCUGAAAUCAGUCGAAGAUACCAGCUGGCUGCAACUGUUUAUUAAAAACACAGCACUGUGCAAACACGAAAGUGGACGUAUACGGUGUGACGCCUGCCCGGUGCCGGAAGGUUAAUUGAUGGGGUUAGCGCAAGCGAAGCUCUUGAUCGAAGCCCCGGUAAACGGCGGCCGUAACUAUAACGGUCCUAAGGUAGCGAAAUUCCUUGUCGGGUAAGUUCCGACCUGCACGAAUGGCGUAAUGAUGGCCAGGCUGUCUCCACCCGAGACUCAGUGAAAUUGAACUCGCUGUGAAGAUGCAGUGUACCCGCGGCAAGACGGAAAGACCCCGUGAACCUUUACUAUAGCUUGACACUGAACAUUGAGCCUUGAUGUGUAGGAUAGGUGGGAGGCUUUGAAGUGUGGACGCCAGUCUGCAUGGAGCCGACCUUGAAAUACCACCCUUUAAUGUUUGAUGUUCUAACGUUGACCCGUAAUCCGGGUUGCGGACAGUGUCUGGUGGGUAGUUUGACUGGGGCGGUCUCCUCCUAAAGAGUAACGGAGGAGCACGAAGGUUGGCUAAUCCUGGUCGGACAUCAGGAGGUUAGUGCAAUGGCAUAAGCCAGCUUGACUGCGAGCGUGACGGCGCGAGCAGGUGCGAAAGCAGGUCAUAGUGAUCCGGUGGUUCUGAAUGGAAGGGCCAUCGCUCAACGGAUAAAAGGUACUCCGGGGAUAACAGGCUGAUACCGCCCAAGAGUUCAUAUCGACGGCGGUGUUUGGCACCUCGAUGUCGGCUCAUCACAUCCUGGGGCUGAAGUAGGUCCCAAGGGUAUGGCUGUUCGCCAUUUAAAGUGGUACGCGAGCUGGGUUUAGAACGUCGUGAGACAGUUCGGUCCCUAUCUGCCGUGGGCGCUGGAGAACUGAGGGGGGCUGCUCCUAGUACGAGAGGACCGGAGUGGACGCAUCACUGGUGUUCGGGUUGUCAUGCCAAUGGCACUGCCCGGUAGCUAAAUGCGGAAGAGAUAAGUGCUGAAAGCAUCUAAGCACGAAACUUGCCCCGAGAUGAGUUCUCCCUGACUCCUUGAGAGUCCUGAAGGAACGUUGAAGACGACGACGUUGAUAGGCCGGGUGUGUAAGCGCAGCGAUGCGUUGAGCUAACCGGUACUAAUGAACCGUGAGGCUUAACCUU
Molecule: ribosomal RNA, 2904 nt
Filed under: Escherichia coli
Lineage: Bacteria; Pseudomonadati; Pseudomonadota; Gammaproteobacteria; Enterobacterales; Enterobacteriaceae
Also listed under: 1 other name
Description: 23S ribosomal RNA
Rfam family: Bacterial large subunit ribosomal RNA
Source: RNAcentral